RNAcentral lists this transfer RNA (89 nucleotides) under Phaeocystis globosa. RNAcentral describes it as "tRNA-Ser". It matches the Rfam family "tRNA". Rfam says of the family: Transfer RNA (tRNA) molecules are approximately 80 nucleotides in length. Their secondary structure includes four short double-helical elements and three loops (D, anti-codon, and T loops). The record is from RNAcentral. Lineage: Eukaryota; Haptophyta; Phaeocystales; Phaeocystaceae.
GGAGAGGUGGCUGAGUGGUUGAAAGCUUUAGAUUGCUAAUCUAAUGUACGUCGUAAGAUGUACCGUGGGUUCGAAUCCCAUCCUCUCCU